This 215-nucleotide ribosomal RNA is filed under the name Micrococcaceae bacterium. Its description in RNAcentral is "partial 23S ribosomal RNA". It matches the Rfam family "Bacterial large subunit ribosomal RNA", at positions 2704 to 2925 of the family's 2925-position model. Lineage: Bacteria; Bacillati; Actinomycetota; Actinomycetes; Micrococcales; Micrococcaceae. The record is from RNAcentral.
AAGCACUGGAAUGUCAGGUGUACCGGAAGGUGCAUGGAUGAAUAGAUACGUUCGGGAUGGAGAAACGCUGAAAGCAUCUAAGCGGGAAGCCGGCUUCGAGAUGAGUUCUCCUUGAGGUUCCCAGUAGAUGACUGGGUUGAUAGGCCGGAUGUGGAAGCACAGACUAACGAUGUGUGGAGCUGACCGGUACUAAUACACCGAUGACUUAUCCUACA